Lepidothrix coronata (blue-crowned manakin) is the source of this 2040-nucleotide long non-coding RNA. RefSeq lists it as uncharacterized. The record is from RefSeq and is a predicted model, not a curated record. Lineage: Eukaryota; Metazoa; Chordata; Aves; Passeriformes; Pipridae. The transcript is spliced from 4 exons.
ACUUCUGGCAUGAUGAGGACUCAAACACAGCCACAGCAGGGAAGCCCCCUGGGCUGGGGCAGCUCUGGCCUCAGCCUCUCCUUGGUUCAUGUUACAUAUCUGUGAAAUGCAGGCUGCUGACUACAGUCAAAUUACCUACAAAACAAGAAGUCAGCUGAGAUAAAGAAUUGGAGAAAAUGGCUCUGGUUGUCUGAGGUGCUCUGCAAUAUUUGUCAUCUGUGGAUUAGCAGCAAUCAGCAAAACUCACAAUAAGCGGGAGAUGAGGCAGUAAAGCCAGACAAGAAAAUGUGCCGAGAUGAAGACACUGGAAAUCUACAGUCUGGAUUUCAUAUACGGGUGUCAUGGUUUGAGACUGCCCCCCCUGGGAGCCGGGGGGCCUAGAGGUGAUUGAGUGGAAGGGCAGUUUCCCCUGGAUGGACAAUCACCGCUCGUUUUGUUCGCUCCUGUGAAAAAUCGUAUACAUACAACUGGUGGAAGUUGUUGGCAAUCGGUCUGUCUGUCUGCUGCUGUUGUGCCUGCUGCUGUGUGGGUGUGAGAAAGGCCCCAGGGGUGGCAGGGCCCCUUUCUUUCCCCUCCGGGAGGGAAGGGGGCCCCUGCAGCCCACAGCUCUGUCUAAGCCAGGGUUGGAGGCAGCACUGGAGUGAGUGUGUGUUUGUGAAGGAAGGGAUUCACAACACCUGAAGGUAAGAGGGAGAGUGAAGCCAGACCGUCUUCUCCCCCCUCUUUGCAGCCAGACUGCGGAGGGGCUUCUCCUUCCCCUCUCGCUGUAAAGUGGAGGGGAGGCUCGGCAUUGGAGCAGAGCCAAAGUGGAUGGGCAGAAUGCAGCUCCGUGCCAGGGAGAUAACCUGAAGCAAAAUUGGAGAUGGACCAGAGAGAGGCCCGGAGGAUGUCCUUGCAGUGAUCUAAAAUGGAAGACGGUCGAAAACUCAGAGGAGGAAUGAAGAUUCCAGGACAUGUACAUGUGAUAAGCCGAACUAAACUACAGCAGCACGGAACCGAGGUAUGAGAGAGAGAAUAACAGAGCACAGAUGGCACAGAACCAAGGAGAAAGGACUCAGAGCUAUCUUCUUGCACUUCCUGAGGAAGAAAGGACUUCAGUAAACAGCUGGAGGUUGGUGGGGGGAGUGAACCCUUUUCUCUGAACACUCCCACGAGAGAAAGACUGGUUACCUAUCAGCCUGAAGAGCUUUUCCUGGACUGAAUUAAGGGAAAAAGCUUAAAGGGACUAAUAGAAGUGUGUAAUAUUAUAUAUAUAGUAGCUUUUAGCUUGUACAGUAUUUAUUUGUAUAGUAAUUAAUGUAUAUAUACUUCCCCUCUUCCCCUAUAGAAGCCUCUUGCCUGAAAGUUUCUCUUCGGUGUUGAGAUAAAUUGUGAGAAGGGGUGGGGGAAGCCUGGAAAUUGGAUUUUGGAUUUUUGUGGUGGCUCAAACCACCACAACGGGGAACACUGCAAUGGUGUAAUUGAAAAAAAUUAUUAAAAUGUAACUGUGUUUAUGGAAACUUAUCCACUUGUAGCUGUCUUUCUAAAAUGGUGAAUUGUGUUUUGGUGCUGAGUUUUAAGACACAGAUUUAUUUUUGUGUAUCGUUAUCAUCCUAGAAAUCCAUGUAAAUCAUUGCAAUCUUGACAUUUUUGUGUAAGAUCUAUCUGUAUCCUAUAAACUAUUUAUUAACGAAAGCAUCUAAAGACUGGAAUAUAUAAACUGGAGAUUUUACUGGACUUUAAGAUCUUUUGAUUAAAAAUACAUAUCAGGAUAAAAUAUUAAUAGAUCUGUAGCUGUGUAUGUCCUGGUGUUCAGAUGGGCUGAGUGUCCAGAGAAGCUCUUGGAUUCAGUUUGUGUGGGAGAUGCUCAUUACAUCUGAAGCUUAAAGCCCAGCAUUAAACAAAUACACAAGAAUAACAACAAAGUCUUAAUGCAAGAGGGUGGGAGAGUUUGCAGUAAUAUGUUGUGUAUUUACUGGAAAUAAUAAGCUAACCUUAUUCCCUGACUGUUUUCUCCGGAUUCUCCCUCAAAUAUUCUCCUUAUUUAUUUUUCUCAUUUAA